Molecule: small nucleolar RNA, 126 nt
Organism: Mus pahari (shrew mouse)
Lineage: Eukaryota; Metazoa; Chordata; Mammalia; Rodentia; Muridae
Product: small nucleolar RNA SNORA17
Exons: 1
Source: RefSeq, a predicted model, not a curated record
UCAGCCUCCUAGAGGAUUAUUCUUUCUGUGUCACAUGUGUACCAACAGGUGGCAGAGAAUAAAGAGGCUAUGUCUCUGGUCAGGCUUUUGACCUGUGUACAUCUGAAUGAUUAGUAGCAUAGCAUC